This 2278-nucleotide long non-coding RNA is filed under the name Daucus carota (carrot). RNAcentral describes it as "long non-coding RNA (DCAR_LNC001100)". The record is from RNAcentral. Lineage: Eukaryota; Viridiplantae; Streptophyta; Magnoliopsida; Apiales; Apiaceae.
GGCUGAAUUCAGCUUUCGUAUAUCUGUCUGGUGCUCAUUGUUGCCACGUGCUCUGCCACACAAAGGGGGUUAAUUGAGUAGUUAUAUCUUCUGGGGAAGCACUCUUACGGGAGGCAGCGCGGCUCGCCCUGCAUUUUAAGGCCAAUCCCUUUACCUGCAUAUUUGCCUUUUGUUCUGAAUCCCUUGGUGAAUGCCGGGCUGACUUAUAAUACAUUGCUUUGUCAGUUUUACAUCAUUCUUGCUCGUAUUAAUUUUCUUUCUUGUGUUCUAAUGCCCUUCUUUGUUGAUAAUAGUAGGCUUUGGGCAGGCUAUGUGCUGUUAAUUUUUUCGGUAAUUUCAGUUUAUAACUCAGAUUCGAAAGAGUAGCCAGGGUAGUGAUGAUGCCCAAGAGUUUGAUACAUUUAGACACUGAUAUAUUCCUAACUACUUGUAGUUAGAUAGGUUAAUAAAGCUCGAAUUGGCAUGGAUAUUUCCCCUUAUUUGGGGUUUUUUCCCGGCUUGCUCUUACCAAUUCAGAAGGUUAGGUGGUUAGUAGAGGUAAUGUUGGCAGCUUAACAAUUCUUUUCAUACUUAUUUUCGAAAUAAUUCGCGGCUUUGAAAUUAGUUAGAGGGCAACAAUUGUAGAGACUAUUGAUCAUAAUUUUAGCUUCUAUGAAGAUGACUAAUUGGAUUUCAUUUUGAUAGGCCCAUCCUAGGUAAUCACGUUUACAAGUUUUGGCACUUAUAUUAUCAUAAAUAAAAUAUAUUUGCCGUCUAACACCCACAAAUGGAACACAUUGUAAAAAUUUUGUGUACAGAUUUAGUGAUUACAAAAUUAAUAAGCUGUAGCAUAUGGGUAUUACAAAUGCAAAUAAUAAAUACUAUGAUGAACUUUUCCACGUAGUUAACUAUAAUUUCAUCAUUAUUUAAUAGUAGAUUUGAUUUUCUGAGUCCAUUAAAUUUUCAAGCUUAUUUUGGGCUCAUUAUUUCUAACCAACUAUUAAAAAGAGUUUACACACACGUUUAGUGAUUACUGUUUGCUUAAUAGAGAGACUGCUAACACCUAGCCACCCGUAUCUAUUACUUGAUGAAAUAGAGCUUUUUGACUGGUUAUUUGGCUUGAAUAGAUAUGGUGCAAUCUAUCCAUUAUAGAUAGAUAUGGAAAUAAAAGGUAUAUGGUUUAGAUCAGAUUACUAAUACAUAGAUUAUUGCUUAGUCAGGUCGGGUCAGGUCACUAACAUGUACGAGAAAUGUUCAUUUAGCUUGGUUUUCAAACGUUAUGCCUGCACCUGGACACUCACUCACGCAUCCAUCAGUGGUUCACAGCCUAUUUUUUCCUUGCGUCAAUUGCGUCGGGGAUUUUGAUUUUAUUACAGUAUGGCCCCGGUAUUAACUGAGGCCUUGAUAGUAAGGUCAUAUUACAUCCAAACUUCUAAGCAACAGCUACAUGACUGAAAGUAACACUGGUCGAGUCAUUACCUCACCCAAAAUGGUUGGCUUAUGUUCAGCCUUAUGGGAACUUCCACUAAACAAAAAUCAGAAGGAACAGCUAGAAGAACAAAUGGAAUCAAAAUCCAGCGUCACAGAUACAGUUCAGCUGGACAAUGCAUUAACAUAUCCGAAAUCAUUUUAAAUAUUAUAGAGCAGAUACAUCUGCCACUGGCACCUAUUUACCGAUAAACACUGGUUCAGAGACUGAUUUCACUUUGGUUGCAGGUUCUGCUGAGAUCUGUCACAUUUCAGGUUGUCAGCGUUUAUCAGCCUUGCGGAUCUAUGGAACAACAACCAAGAAAAAGAGGUCGGCCAAGGCUCCUUGUCACCGCUGAUGUGGUGGAGCGGCGAAAGAAUUCCAAGCGGUUGCAAAAUGCCAAGCGUGCUUACAAGCGGGGUAUGUACACUGCUAAGCUGUUGUUUUGGGCUAGGAUCAACUACUCCCCCUUCCCUGUUCAGAGAGCCAGUCCCCAAGCCUUUAAAACCGUGAGGCACCCGUUUACGUGGACUUUUAAUUUUUGUGGUUGCUGGAGAGUGUUUGGUAUUCUUACGAAUUGCUUUCCGAGCCUCUGCAGUUGUGUGUGCCCGAGUCCAGGGAGCGUGCGUGCGGAAAUCUGGUUUAAGAUCUGUGUGCGUGUUUUUACCUCGGCUGUUCCACUAACUAGCUUUACUCUUAUCUUCCUGUUUAGGAGAGGAGCUAUCGGAAGGGGGAUGUUCCGCCCACUCUCCAAACAUCGCUGGAUCUCCUACUGGUGGCCAAUCCAGUUCAGAUGCCUGUCCAGCGUUAGAUGAUGCUCGUCCGGCGGGC